This 357-nucleotide transfer-messenger RNA is filed under the name Caryophanaceae. Its description in RNAcentral is "Lysinibacillus_B odysseyi Standard tmRNA". It matches the Rfam family "transfer-messenger RNA". From Rfam's summary of the family: Bacterial tmRNA, also known as 10Sa RNA or SsrA, is named for its dual tRNA and mRNA-like properties. The record is from RNAcentral. Lineage: Bacteria; Bacillati; Bacillota; Bacilli; Caryophanales. RNAcentral also lists the same sequence under 2 other names.
GGGGACGUUACGGAUUCGACAGGGAUGGUUCAAGCUCUAGUCGCGCGUCGGAGGUCUCGGCUCCGUCAUCAACGGAAGUUAUAUAAUAACUGGCAAACAACAAAAUUUAGCUUUCGCAGCGUAAGCUCGUAAGCGCUCCGCCUCUGCAUCGCCCAUGUGCAGUCCGUGGGGCCCAACUUUAGUGGGAUACGACCUGCUGGUACCACCUGAGUCAGCGGUAAGAGAUUUCCAGGUUAGUGCACAGGACGCCUGUUUGUCGGCAUAAUGCUGCAUGAAUCGCAAGUAGACAAACUACACGCGUAGAAGCUGGCGUAUUGGAGUUUCUGGACGCGGGUUCGACUCCCGCCGUCUCCAUAA